UGGUGGAGCGAUUUGUCUGGUUAAUUCCGAUAACGAACGAGACUCUGGCCUAUUAACUAGACGAUGUAUUUAAAAGUAUAUCACGCUUCUUAGAGGGACAAGCGGCGUCUAGCCGCAUGAAAUAGAGCAAUAACA
This 135-nucleotide ribosomal RNA is filed under the name uncultured eukaryote. RNAcentral's name for it is "partial 18S ribosomal RNA". It matches the Rfam family "Eukaryotic small subunit ribosomal RNA", at positions 1299 to 1458 of the family's 1831-position model. The record is from RNAcentral.